This 459-nucleotide ribosomal RNA is filed under the name uncultured bacterium. RNAcentral's name for it is "partial 16S ribosomal RNA". It matches the Rfam family "Bacterial small subunit ribosomal RNA", at positions 338 to 795 of the family's 1533-position model. The record is from RNAcentral.
CCUACGGGGGGCAGCAGUGAGGAAUAUUGGUCAAUGGCCGAGAGGCUGAACCAGCCAAGUCGCGUGAGGGAAGACGGCCCUACGGGUUGUAAACCUCUUUUGUCGGGGAGCAAAGCGAACCACGUGUGGUUCAUUGAGAGUACCCGAAGAAAAAGCAUCGGCUAACUCCGUGCCAGCAGCCGCGGUAAUACGGAGGAUGCGAGCGUUAUCCGGAUUUAUUGGGUUUAAAGGGUGCGUAGGCGGAAUGCCAAGUCAGCGGUAAAAUCGCGGGGCUCAACCUCGCUCCGCCGUUGAAACUGGCGUUCUUGAGUGGGCGAGAAGUAUGCGGAAUGCGUGGUGUAGCGGUGAAAUGCAUAGAUAUCACGCAGAACCCCGAUUGCGAAGGCAGCAUGCCGGCUUCCGACUGACGCUGAAGCACGAAAGCGUGGGGAUCGAACAGGAUUAGAUACCCUAGUAGUC